GUGUUCGCUUUGGCAGCACAUAUACUAAAACUGGAAUGAUACAGAGAAGAUUAGCAUGGCUCCUGUGCAAGGAUGACAUGCAAAUUCAUGAAGCGUUCCAGAUUUUU
Molecule: small nuclear RNA, 107 nt
Organism: Bison bison bison
Lineage: Eukaryota; Metazoa; Chordata; Mammalia; Artiodactyla; Bovidae
Source: Ensembl